Molecule: ribosomal RNA, 272 nt
Filed under: uncultured bacterium
Lineage: Bacteria
Description: partial 16S ribosomal RNA
Rfam family: Bacterial small subunit ribosomal RNA
Source: RNAcentral
UACGGGGGGAGCAAGCGUUGUUCGGAUUUACUGGGCGUAAAGGGCGCGUAGGCGGCCAGCGCAAGUCAGUUGUGAAGUCUCCGGGCUUAACUCGGAAAGGUCAACUGAUACUGCGCGGCUAGAGUGCAGAAGGGGCAACUGGAAUUCUCGGUGUAGCGGUGAAAUGCGUAGAUAUCGAGAGGAACACCUGCGGCGAAGGCGGGUUGCUGGGCUGACACUGACGCUGAGGCGCGAAAGCCAGGGGAGCGAACGGGAUUAGAUACCCGUGUAGU